GACCGCGCCCUCGCCUGGGAGGCGGGGCGGGCCGGGUUCUCUCUGUGACGUCACAAAGGCCCCGCCAUGCCUCUGGCUUUGACCCUUCUGCUGCUCUCGGGCUUGGGCGCCCCCGGAGGCUGGGGCUGCCUGCAGUGCGACCCCUUGGUGCUGGAGGCCCUGGGUCACCUGCGCUCCGCCCUCAUCCCCAGUCGCUUCCAGUUGGAGCAGCUGCAGGCGCGCGCCGGGGCCGUGCUGAUGGGCAUGGAGGGGCCUUUCUUCCGGGACUACGCGCUGAACGUGUUUGUGGGGAAAGUGGAGACAAAUCAACUGGACCUUGUGGCGUCCUUUGUCAAGAACCAAACGCAGCACUUAAUGGGUAACUCUCUGAAAGAUGAGCCUCUGCUGGAAGAGCUGGUGACCCUCAGGGCGAAUGUGAUCAAGGAACUCAAGAAAGUUUUAAUUUCAUAUGAAUUAAAAGCCUGCAACCCCAAACUUUGCCGCUUGCUAAAAGAAGAGGUGUUGGACUGUUUACAUUGCCAGAGGAUCACUCCCAAGUGUAUCCACAAAAAGUACUGCUUUGGUAAGCUUCUGGGGGUGGGGGAAGACAUGGGACAGGCAUGCAAGAGAUGAAGACAGCCAUGACCCACUAGAUAUGGGUUUCGAGGCUCCCACAUGCAGCCUCGAAUCCUGCCCUAACCAUUUGCUUAGAGUGUGGCCCAGAAGUUGCUCCUGUAUUCUGAGAUUCACUUUCCUCCAUCUGUUAAAUGGAAAGACUCCCUGGAACUUUAGAAUGCCCCUAGCUCCAGAAUGGCAGGUGCUAGAAAAAGAUUUUAUUCUUAGCCAUUGCUGUACCUGAGGAAUUUGGAAGGAAGUGCUGAAUUCACUCAUUCAUUCAUUCAUAAAUCUAAAAAACAUACAUUCUUUUUUUUUUUUUUUUUUUUGAUAUGGAUUCUCGCCCAGGCUGGAGUACAAUGGCAGGAUCUUGGCUCACUGCAACCUCUGCCUCCCAGGAGAAUCGCUUGAAUAUAGGAGGUGGAGGCUGCAGUGAGCCAAGAUCGCACCAUUGCACUCCAGCUUGGGUGACAAUGCGAGACUCCAUCUCAAAAAAAAAAAAAAAAGUAUAAUGAAUCCACAUCUAUCUAUCCGGGUUGAAUAGUCAUGCUGGAUCUUUUCACAUGCUGUUCCCUCUCUCUGUCACACUGUUGCAAUCACUCCUUCACUUCAUUUGGGUCUCAAAGGUCACUUCCUCAGACAGGCCUCUCUGAUCAUAAUCUCAAAAGUAGCACUUACUAUCAAAUUAUGUUAACAAUUAACAUUCUUCCAUAUUUAUUUCACCUACUUUAUUCUUUGCCAUAGUAUGUUAAAAGAAACCACAGACACCAUGCCCCAUACAUAGCAUGUACCUCUAAAAAUAAUGACAUUUUCCUAAGUAGCCACAAUGUCGUUCCCACACCCACCAAACCUAGCAAUGAUUCCUCAAUGUCAAAUAAUUCCAGGUCCCACUGUCAACUUCCUUAAUUGUCCCCAGAAUAUUUUUCACAGUUGAUUUGUUCAAACCAGGGUUCAAUGAAAGGACUUCUUAUAUCAUUCAAUUGUUAGGUUUUUCUCUUCUUUUUAAAAUCUAGAACAGUUUUUGUUUUGUUUUGUUUUGUUUUUUUAGACUGAUUCUUGCCAUGUUGGCCAGGCUGGUCUCAAACUCCUGGGCUCAAAUGAUUCGCCCACCUCAGCCUCCCAAAGUGCUGGGAUUACAGGCAUGAGUCACUGCAGCCGGCCUAGAACAGUUUCUCUUAUCAGUUUUUGGGUUUUUUUUUUUUUCCCCUCCAUGACAUUGGCAUUGAAAAAGAAGGGAGUGUGUCCUAUAGAGUGUCCCACUUUUGGAUUUGCCUGUUUGCUUCCUUUGGCUGGUAUUUGGUGACAACAAAUAUUUUGAGCACCCUACGAUGUCCCAAACUGAGGAACAGUGGAAUGGGAGACAGAUGUAGCUCCUGCCCUCAUGGAGCCCACAUUUUAGUGGGGCCAGAGGUUACACUAGGGUUUCUCAACCUCAGCACUGUUGAGAUUUGGAGCUGGAUCAUUCUUUGUUAGGGAGGCUGUCCUGGUUAUUGUAGGAUGUUUAGCAACAUCCCUAGCUUCGAUCCACCAGAUGCCAGUAGCAUCUCCCUCCCCAUUAUGACAAUCAGAAAUGUCCCCAGACAUUUCCAAAUGUCCCUUAAGUGACAAAAUUAUCCCAGAUUGAGAACCACUGGGUUAGAUGGUAAUUGCAUGAACAAAUAAACAGGCUUGAUCCAGAUGGCAAUGGUGUUCUAAUGAAAAUAGAAUGGUUUGGUAGAUAGUGCCUGGGGGAGGCUGCUACUUUAGAAAAUACGGAUGUAGGGCACCUCUAAAGAGGUGACUUUUGAAAGCUGAAGGAAGUAAGCAAGUGAUGGGAACAGUGUCAAUGACAGAGGGAACAGCACAUGCAAAGAUCCAACAUAAUUAAGCAACAAGGAGGAGAAGGCCAGUGUGGCCAGAGCUGAGUGAAUGAAAGAGAAUAGUAGGGUGGCUAGAACAAUGGCCGGGUCACGUGGGAACCAGAUGAUGCAGGGCUUGCAAGAGCAUGGUGAGAACUUGAGCUUUUAUUCUGAGAUGGGGGGCCAUGGAGUAGCAGGAAGACACUGAGCAGAGGGAGCCGACUUAGGUUUUAACAGCGCCUCCCGGAGGCCAUGUGAGGAACUGUGGGAGGAGGGGUCAAGGGAGCCUCCUAAGAGAAGCAGUGGGCUGGGGUUGGACCUGCUUGGUAGCCAUGGAAGUGGAUUGGAUUCUGCCUACAGUUUGAAGGUCAAGCCAAGAGGCUUUGCUGAUAGAAGGAAAGAGUUGGUGGUGCGAGGCAAGUGGAAGAUGCAGAAAGCAACUCCCAAGGCCACCUUCAGGGCCAAUAGCUAAGAUGCAGCAACUAAGACUUUCAUCUUGUGAAACUGUUCGCAUUUUGCACCUCCCUCUCAUGUGCAUGGUGUCUCUGGUUUUUGUUUUGUUUUGUUUUCUGAGACAGGGUCUUGCUCUGUCCCCCAGGCUGGGAUGCAGUGGCACAGUCACGGCUCACUGCAGCCUCAACCUCCUGUGCUCAAGCAAUCCUCCCACCUCAGCCUCCUGAGUUGCUAGGACUACAGGCUCGUGCCACCAUACCUAGCUAAUUUUUUCUUUUUUGUAGAGAUAGGAUCUCACAGCCCGUGCUGACUUGAACUCCUGGGCUGAAGUGAUCCCCCUGCCUCAGCUUCCCAAAGUACCGGGAUUAUAGGCGCGAGCUCACCAUGCCUGACCAUUGUAUCGUAUCUUUUGGUUUUGAGUCAAACUUCCCAAGUCCUCCUCACCCCACCCCAUCCCAUCAAAUGAAAUGCUUUUAGAACUA
Molecule: RNA transcript, 3367 nt
Organism: Pan troglodytes (chimpanzee)
Lineage: Eukaryota; Metazoa; Chordata; Mammalia; Primates; Hominidae
Gene: IZUMO2
Gene name: IZUMO family member 2
Exons: 6
Source: RefSeq, a predicted model, not a curated record